UACGUAGGGGGCGAGCGUUGUCCGGAUUUAUUGGGCGGAAAGAGCUCGUAGGCGGCUUGGCAAGUCGGGUGUGAAACCUCCAGGCUCAACCUGGAGACGCCACUCGAUACUGCCAUGGCUAGAGUCCGGUAGGGGACCACGGAAUUCCUGGUGUAGCGGUGAAAUGCGCAGAUAUCAGGAGGAACACCGGUGGCGAAGGCGGUGGUCUGGGCCGGCACUGACGCUGAGGAGCGAAAGCGUGGGUAGCAAACAGG
This 254-nucleotide ribosomal RNA is filed under the name uncultured bacterium. RNAcentral's name for it is "partial 16S ribosomal RNA". It matches the Rfam family "Bacterial small subunit ribosomal RNA", at positions 524 to 776 of the family's 1533-position model. The record is from RNAcentral.